Molecule: ribosomal RNA, 228 nt
Filed under: uncultured bacterium
Lineage: Bacteria
Description: partial 16S ribosomal RNA
Rfam family: Bacterial small subunit ribosomal RNA
Source: RNAcentral
UGCGUAGGCGGAUUUUUAAGUCAGUGGUGAAAGCCCGGAGCUCAACUCCGGAACUGCCAUUGAUACUAUUAAUCUUGAAUACAGUUGAGGUGGGCGGAAUGUGUAGUGUAGCGGUGAAAUGCUUAGAUAUUACACAGAACACCGAUUGCGAAGGCAGCUCGCUAAACUGUUAUUGACGCUGAGGCACGAAAGCGUGGGGAGCGAACAGGAUUAGAUACCCUGGUAGUC